UACAGAGGGGGCAAGCGUUGUUCGGAAUUACUGGGCGUAAAGGGCGCGUAGGCGGCCUUCUAAGUCGAACGUGAAAUCCCCGGGCUCAACCCGGGAACUGCGUCCGAUACUGGAAGGCUUGAAUCCGGGAGAGGGAUGCGGAAUUCCAGGUGUAGCGGUGAAAUGCGUAGAUAUCAGGAGGAACACCGGUGGCGAAGGCGGGUCUCUGGGCAGUAACUGACACUGAGGAGCGAAAGCGUGGGGAGCGAACAGG
Molecule: ribosomal RNA, 253 nt
Filed under: uncultured bacterium
Lineage: Bacteria
Description: partial 16S ribosomal RNA
Rfam family: Bacterial small subunit ribosomal RNA
Source: RNAcentral